UUAAACCACUAGGGGAGCCAAUUGGCUGAGAUUAAGGCGCGUGCUUUAGACCCUUUGAACCUGAACUAUGUAAUCAUAGCGGAGGGAAGUGGCAUCAUAAACAA
This 104-nucleotide non-coding RNA is filed under the name Halalkalibacter wakoensis. Its description in RNAcentral is "Bacillus wakoensis TPP sequence". It matches the Rfam family "TPP riboswitch aptamer (THI element)". Rfam says of the family: Vitamin B(1) in its active form thiamin pyrophosphate (TPP) is an essential coenzyme that is synthesised by coupling of pyrimidine and thiazole moieties in bacteria. The previously detected thiamin-regulatory element, thi box was extended, resulting in a new, highly conserved RNA secondary structure, the THI element, which is widely distributed in eubacteria and also occurs in some archaea. Analysis of operon structures identified a large number of new candidate thiamin-regulated genes, mostly transporters, in various prokaryotic organisms. Lineage: Bacteria; Bacillati; Bacillota; Bacilli; Caryophanales; Bacillaceae. The record is from RNAcentral. RNAcentral also lists the same sequence under 1 other name.